CCACCUGCCACACCUGAUUCAGCUUCCCCAUCUCCGGCAACGCCAGCGUGGCAAAAAUCUUGAAAACCCCAUCAGAAAACUCACCGCUCUUCUGGGUCACCUCAAAGCUCAACUUAGACUCGGCAAUUGGGCCAUAAGAAGUGAUAUUGUAGGUCUUGACAGCCACUGACCCAUCUGGGUUCUUGAAGCCAAUGAGAGCCUGUGAGCCGACCAUUCCGGUUGCUGUUGGGUUGAUGGCCCAGGCCACCCAGCCGUCGGGCUUGGGCGGCGUUGCAACAAAGGCUAUUGAGAGAGAUGAUUUGGUAGCGUCAUAAGUGUAGUGGAGGUAGGAGUUUAACUGGGGGAGAUCAUUGCAGUGCUGGUAGAUUUUGUUGUUGGUGAAUUUUUGGGAAGUGCAGGUG
This 401-nucleotide long non-coding RNA is filed under the name Daucus carota (carrot). Its description in RNAcentral is "long non-coding RNA (DCAR_LNC000874)". Lineage: Eukaryota; Viridiplantae; Streptophyta; Magnoliopsida; Apiales; Apiaceae. The record is from RNAcentral.